Non-coding RNA from Catharus ustulatus (Swainson's thrush), 513 nucleotides. The record is from the annotation of a RefSeq genome assembly. NCBI's taxonomy places the organism in Eukaryota, Metazoa, Chordata, Aves, Passeriformes, Turdidae.
CGGGCGGCCGUGACCCUGCUGGAGUGCGGGGGGGACCUCCAGCCCCCCGGGGGGUCCCUGACUCUGCUCUGCCGCGGGAGUGGAUUCGAUUUCAGGAAUUAUGGAAUGUUCUGGACCCGCCAGAGCCCCGGGAAGGGCCUGGAGUUCGUGGCGAGUAUCUACAACGAUGGUGACACCACCCACUACUCACCGUCGGUGCAGGGCCAGUUCUCGAUCUCCAGGGACAACGGGCAGAACUCGGUGACGCUGACCAUGAACAACCUCAAGGACGAGGAUUCCGCCGUUUAUUUCUGUGCCAAAAAUGCCCGUCCUGAUGCAAACGUUGGUGCUGUUGAAGAUUUGGGUCAGCACUGGGGGUUGUUUUCAGCCCGGGCGGAUUUGGCGGGACAAUGUGGAUUUCAGACGAGCUGGCUGAGUUCUGGGGCCAAUGAUUGCUUUAGAGGGGCAAGCGUCACCGAGCUCUGCCCGUCGUCGGUGGCCAACGUGAACCGGCCCUUGACUGACGGCGCGUAG